Molecule: transfer RNA, 98 nt
Filed under: Acetobacter nitrogenifigens DSM 23921 = NBRC 105050
Lineage: Bacteria; Pseudomonadati; Pseudomonadota; Alphaproteobacteria; Acetobacterales; Acetobacteraceae
Description: tRNA-Arg
Source: RNAcentral
GAAGCGCUGAAAGGGUUGGACGCGUUGCCGCCUGUCGUCGGCGGGCGGGAGCGUCAGGACAGCGUCCGCGCAGGGUUGGAGGCGCUGGACGCUUUGCC